Long non-coding RNA from Trichoplusia ni (cabbage looper), 125 nucleotides. RefSeq lists it as uncharacterized. The record is from RefSeq and is a predicted model, not a curated record. NCBI's taxonomy places the organism in Eukaryota, Metazoa, Arthropoda, Insecta, Lepidoptera, Noctuidae. The transcript has 3 exons.
AAAAAAGGCAUCGAAAUUGUAUUUCAUCCUUUAGUGGUAAGAUAGAUCUUCCACAACAAAUUGUACCAGUGACGCCGAGAAAACAAAACACACGCCAGUGACGUCAUGACCGAAAUGAAAGAGAC